This 30-nucleotide non-coding RNA is filed under the name Cricetulus griseus (Chinese hamster). Lineage: Eukaryota; Metazoa; Chordata; Mammalia; Rodentia; Cricetidae. The record is from RNAcentral.
AAAGGGCUGUAACCACUAAAGGCUUAUGGU